This 549-nucleotide ribosomal RNA is filed under the name uncultured Glomus. RNAcentral's name for it is "SSU rRNA". It matches the Rfam family "Eukaryotic small subunit ribosomal RNA", at positions 548 to 1098 of the family's 1831-position model. Lineage: Eukaryota; Fungi; Glomeromycota; Glomeromycetes; Glomerales; Glomeraceae. The record is from RNAcentral.
UUGGAGGGCAAGUCUGGUGCCAGCAGCCGCGGUAAUUCCAGCUCCAAUAGCGUAUAUUAAAGUUGUUGCAGUUAAAAAGCUCGUAGUUGAAUUUCGGGGUUAGUAGGUUGGUCAUGCCUCUGGUAUGUACUGGUCUCACUGAUUCCUCCUUCCUGAUGAACCUUAAUGCCAUUUAUUUGGUGUUUUGGGGAAUUUGGACUGUUACUUUGAAAAAAUUAGAGUGUUUAAAGCAGGCUCACGCUUGAAUACAUUAGCAUGGAAUAAUGAAAUAGGACGUUUGAUUCUAUUUUGUUGGUUUCUAGGAUCGACGUAAUGAUUAAUAGGGAUAGUUGGGGGCAUUAGUAUUCAAUUGUCAGAGGUGAAAUUCUUGGAUUUAUUGAAGACUAACUACUGCGAAAGCAUUUGCCAAGGAUGUUUUCAUUAAUCAAGAACGAAAGUUAGGGGAUCGAAGACGAUCAGAUACCGUCGUAGUCUUAACCAUAAACUAUGCCGACUAGGGAUCGGAUGAUGUUAAUUUUUUAAUGACUCAUUCGGCGCCUUACGGGAAAC